Molecule: long non-coding RNA, 1636 nt
Organism: Xenopus tropicalis (tropical clawed frog)
Lineage: Eukaryota; Metazoa; Chordata; Amphibia; Anura; Pipidae
Exons: 9
Source: RefSeq, a predicted model, not a curated record
AGGACCUAGAGGACUACCAACAGGAAGUGGAUGAUGAACCACGCACAUCCCAUUCAAGAAGACAUACAGAGACACGCCAAAUGGAAGCAGCAACGGAAGAAUCAAGCAUGCCCGAUUCAAGAUGCAGAAGACGGAGAGAAACACACAAACAGGAGGAUGUAACUGAAGAACCUCAGACGUCCCAGCCACAAAUUAGAAGACGUCCAGAAACACACCAACAGAAGAAAGUGAAAAAAGAACUUAACCCAUCAUGUUCAUGUCAAAACAUGUUAAUUGACACAGGCCUUUCAAGAGAAGAUUUGUUUGGUGUGAUUUUAAGAGAUAUUCCCUCUAAGAAUAGAUUGUGAUCCUCCAGACCUAAACAAAUGGAGGAGUCUUUCCCCAGAGCAUUGGUUAUACCUUUCUGACCGAUGGUGGAAAACACAAAAUCUAAUGCGAAGGGACUAUGUAGCCGAGUAUUUCCAGAAUCAGCAACAUAGUGAGGCCCAGAUUAAGAGGUUCUUUCAAAGGGAGCAGUGGAAUGUGAAUUUGCCGAGUAUACCUGAGAUUCUGAAGAAAAUAAGCGCUUCAUUGCAUUGAAGGAUAUCUAAGCUAAACUGCAAAAGGCAGAAAAAAGAUGGAAAGCAAGCAUAUUGGAGAUCACCAUCGAUUGAAGGAUAUUGUAGCAUAUUGGAGCUCACCAUCAUGUUUAGCUGGAAAAAGAUAAGUACAUGUAUUCUCUUCGUACUGUCUCUCACCAUCUGUUUUAUCUCUGUUUUACUCUCCCAUGUAAGCAAAAUUGCAAUACACAUUAUAUGUUAUGAAGUAGUCAGCACUGGAGAGAUGAAGAGAAUGACAGAUGUGUUAGACUUUGGACAGUGUUCCUGAACCCAUCAUAAUGACAUCUCAACAGACAGGAUGUUUUAAGAAAUGAAAAACCAUUAUGGAUGAAUUACUUUAAUGACCCUUAAAAAUUCUCCACUUAGAAAUUUCCCACUUAGUAACUUCCACUUUUCACCUUUUUAAUUCUUCUCUCUCUUUCUCUCCCUGUCUCCCCUCUGUUGAACUAUUGGUCAGCAGAACUGUAAUACAUGAUUUUUUUUUUAGCUUUCAAGAAGCACAGACAGUAGUGGAAAGAUGGAGACACAGGGAUCUCUUAAAGAGCUGGACCUACCUGGUGACUCAGAAGGAGAACAAUGCAGAGCCCAUGACUGAUGACAAUGUUUAUGGUGAUGAAGAUGACGGCAAUGAAGAUCUAGAGACCGAGACAUGCAGUCUUGUUGGAGGGCUGGACCAGAGCAAGACAGAUUGUCACAUCACGUUAAAGACUCAGUUUGGUCGAGGGAAAACAUCUGAUUGCCAUAAGUGGGGACAGUAGUGCAGAGAUGAAAGAAACUGAAAACAUGGACUAAUUCUGUUUUUAAAUAAUUGACAAUGACAUCACAUUAAAGACUCAGUUUGGUCCAGAGAAAACAUCCGAUCGCCAUAAGUGGGGUCAGGGAGGAAUUUUUUCUUUAAGUUUAAACUGGCUGGGUUUUUUGGUUUCACUUCCUUCUGGACCAUGGAAUAAAAUAUUUACUGAUCCUUAAAGUUUGUUAAUUCUUUUGUUAUGCAAUUCUUGUAAUUUGAAAUAAAAUACAACUGCUACAUUACUGAA